AGUAGCACUUCAUCUUUUGGCAUGUCGUCCUCUUUCCCUCAGGAUGUGUGUCUCCAGAUCAGAUCCUGUGCUCGACAGACAUGCUGAUUACAGCAGAAUCAUUGCGCUGCCUGGAACGGAUGAAUAGCUAACAUACCUGCGUAAGCCGGGCACCAUUAAUGGAUUAGCAUGAGCAGGCACAGGGGAAUGUGGUGCCCGCGGGGAGCAGAGGGUAUUUAAGAGUCCUGCUGGACGCUUCUCUCUUACGCCACACCGCUAGGACUCUGAGUGCAUGUGCUCAGUAUCAUGGCUUCCUUUAAGAAGUCUCUGGAGGGGCUGAAGAACAGCUCACAGUCGGCCACUAAAGGCGUCACGGACUCAGCAGUUCAAGCAGCUCAAGAUGCCGUGCAGCAGGUGGCAGAAUCUUCCAAAGAAGCCACCAGCACAGCUGCUGAGGAGGCAUCCAGACAAACACAGUCUGCUAUAGGCACAGCUGCAGGGAAAGCAUCAGACACCAUUAAGGAGUUUGGACACAAACUGAGCUCCAAAUAAACGCUGCGCUGCCUAAACACUCUGACGCUCCUUUUUUAUCAUGACAAAUUCAGUUUUAAACCUUACAGACUGAACUGUAGCGGCUUGGAAAUGUAGCGGCGUCUUUCCACAAGCAGAUCCAAUGCAAGAGAAGAUUUCAUUUGCGUUUAAUUGUUGAUGAUGAUAUUUUUCCAAAGUCUGUUCAAAGAUGCCUGUGCUUUCAAAAUACACGAUACAUUACGCUCA
Danio rerio (zebrafish) is the source of this 756-nucleotide non-coding RNA. Lineage: Eukaryota; Metazoa; Chordata; Actinopteri; Cypriniformes; Danionidae. The record is from RefSeq and is a predicted model, not a curated record.